UACGUAGGGUGCAAGCGUUAUCCGGAAUUAUUGGGCGUAAAGAGCUCGUAGGCGGUUUGUCGCGUCUGCUGUGAAAACUGGGGCUCAACCCCCAGCCUGCAGUGGGUACGGGCAAACUAGAGUGCGGUAGGGGAGAUUGGAAUUCCUGGUGUAGCGGUGAAAUGCGCAGAUAUCAGGAGGAACACCGAUGGCGAAGGCAGGUCUCUGGGCAUUAACUGACGCUGAGGAGCGAAAGCAUGGGGAGCGAACAGG
Molecule: ribosomal RNA, 252 nt
Filed under: uncultured bacterium
Lineage: Bacteria
Description: partial 16S ribosomal RNA
Rfam family: Bacterial small subunit ribosomal RNA
Source: RNAcentral